RNAcentral lists this ribosomal RNA (301 nucleotides) under uncultured bacterium. Its description in RNAcentral is "partial 16S ribosomal RNA". It matches the Rfam family "Bacterial small subunit ribosomal RNA", at positions 509 to 807 of the family's 1533-position model. The record is from RNAcentral.
CAGCCGCCGCGGUAAAACGGAGGGGGCUAGCGUUGUUCGGAAUUACUGGGCGUAAAGCGCACGUAGGCGGCUUGGUAAGUUAGAGGUGAAAGCCUGGAGCUCAACUCCAGAAUUGCCUUUAAUACUGGCAAUCUCGAGUCCGAGAGAGGUGAGUGGAAUUCCGAGUGUAGAGGUGAAAUUCGUAGAUAUUCGGAGGAACACCAGUGGCGAAGGCGGCUCACUGGCUCGGUACUGACGCUGAGGUGCGAAAGCGUGGGGAGCAAACAGGAUUAGAUACCCCAGUAGUCCCUGUCUCUUAUAC